CGAGAUGGAGAUUUUGGGGAUUUCUUUCUCCGAGGGAGGUCGAGAGAACUCUCAUUCUCUUCGUCUCCUGGUCUGGAGGCGACGCCGACGCGGCAGCGAUUCGACCUCGCCGUCGUCGGGUUCGACGGUGAUUUUUUUUGUGCUCUUUGCUUUUUCUUCUACCGUCGAUUUCGAUCUGUGAGUUCGGGCUUGCCAUCGUUGAUUCGCCAGUGA
Molecule: long non-coding RNA, 213 nt
Filed under: Oryza sativa Indica Group (long-grained rice)
Lineage: Eukaryota; Viridiplantae; Streptophyta; Magnoliopsida; Poales; Poaceae
Description: lncRNA OsIR64_08g0005790
Source: RNAcentral